This is a long non-coding RNA of Bolinopsis microptera, 614 nucleotides long. RefSeq lists it as uncharacterized. The record is from RefSeq and is a predicted model, not a curated record. The transcript has 3 exons. Lineage: Eukaryota; Metazoa; Ctenophora; Tentaculata; Lobata; Bolinopsidae.
AGAUUACAGUGUUUGCACUGUAUGCAGGUAACUUGAUAGCUAGAUACACGGUGGUACUGAAGGAGGGGACAAAAGAACCCUAUGUUUUACUUACCUGGGCGGGAAAAGAAAGGAAGGAAAUUUUGACAAAAAAAACUAAAAGAAAAACAACAACUGUUGACCAAAUUAUCAAAGGAGCAUUCGCAUACGGAGCUGACAAAACCAUACUAGUAGCAGACAAUCAACUGAGUUAUUUUGAGUUAUCAUGGAAGUUCAAUAAGGCAGGGACCCCUAAUUUAAAAGAGAUCACAGAGAAUACUGACAUGAACAGUUUAAUCGGACGAAAGCUUAAUAGAGAAGCCUUUAACGCUGCAAUGACAUUGAAUAAGAGAGAUACAGAGGAGAUUUACAUGUUUGAAGCCAGGAACGUGUGGCAGGAGAAACCCUUCACAACGCCAGAAGGUGGUAACCGAAGAUGGAAGGAAGUUCCAAACUGGUUCAAGAUUGCUGGCUGGUGUCGUCGCAGAAACACAUGAUCCCAGUUGUAAUGAAACUCUGAACAAUUUUAAUUUAGCUCGAAGCUAAUGUACUAAUGUAUAAUGUACUAAUGUACAAUACAAUGACAUUAGGGUUAA